GGUACAUGCCACAGUGGGCCCCUCCCCUAGGCAACCAACUGCUAAUGAGUGACAGUUAGUGGUCCUGCUCAGCCAUUGGUCAGCACCACAGUGGGCUCCUUCCCCAAGUGAUCAACUGUCAAUGAGUGACCAUUAGUGGGUGAUUCAGCCAGUGGUCAGCAAAGUGAUGGUCAUCAGGCAGAGUGAGCAUCAUCAGCUAAGGAGGAAAAGUAACAAAGAACUUGAGGACUUUCAUGGCUCCCAGGCCCUGGAUGGAGACCGGCGGCAUCAGGCAGCUUCAGACAGAGAACCGUGGAAGCUGAGGGGCAGCCGGGAUGCGCCUGGGGCUGCAAAGCCCAGGCGGAUUCUUUACCAGCUGAGCCACCAGGGAAGCCCAGAACUUACAAAGGGGGAGGUCAGGAAGAGGAUGACCAAAUAUUAUUGUAGCCUAACAUUAUUAAGAACAAAUGUUUAGCAAUGGAACCAUAUAGGGGUCAAGGGAUCAAGAAACAACCCUUUAGCUUUUAUGUCCCAGGCGCUGUGUGCUUAGUUGCUGACUCUUUGCGGCCUCCUGGGCUACAGCCCGCCAGGCUCCUCUGCCAUGG
This 584-nucleotide long non-coding RNA is filed under the name Capra hircus (goat). RNAcentral's name for it is "lncRNA (ENSCHIG00000001896.1)". The record is from RNAcentral. Lineage: Eukaryota; Metazoa; Chordata; Mammalia; Artiodactyla; Bovidae.